AAUUAGCCCAUUAAGUUUACCCCUUUUUACACUUUUGGCCCCCCAGACCAAUUUUGACUGGGUCAAUGCAUACAUGGCACCCAUAUCAUUUUAAUUAUUAGGCUUAAUUGCAGUUUUGACCCCCUAAGAAAAAAGAAAGUUACACGUGGCACGUCACUUUAAGUGAUGUGGGUGCCACGCAUGCAUUGAUUUAAUCAAAAUUGGUAUGGGGGGCUAGAAGUGCAAAAUGGGGUAAACUUAGGAGGUUGAUU
This is a microRNA precursor of Medicago truncatula (barrel medic), 251 nucleotides long. It matches the Rfam family "MIR2619 microRNA precursor family". The record is from Rfam. Lineage: Eukaryota; Viridiplantae; Streptophyta; Magnoliopsida; Fabales; Fabaceae.